RNAcentral lists this ribosomal RNA (253 nucleotides) under uncultured bacterium. RNAcentral describes it as "partial 16S ribosomal RNA". It matches the Rfam family "Bacterial small subunit ribosomal RNA", at positions 524 to 776 of the family's 1533-position model. The record is from RNAcentral.
UACGAAGGGGGCUAGCGUUGCUCGGAAUCACUGGGCGUAAAGCGCACGUAGGCGGAUUGCUAAGUCAGGCGUGAAAUCCUGGAGCUCAACUCCAGAACUGCCUUUGAUACUGGCGACCUUGAGUCCGGGAGAGGUGAGUGGAACUGCGAGUGUAGAGGUGAAAUUCGUAGAUAUUCGCAAGAACACCAGUGGCGAAGGCGGCUCACUGGCCCGGUACUGACGCUGAGGUGCGAAAGCGUGGGGAGCAAACAGG